UCAUUAAUUCUUAAUGACUUCAAGGUUCUUUUAUGAUAAUAAGAGCAUUGGGGCACAAAUACCAAAAUAUGAAUUCAUGCAAUUUAUGAUUCAUCUCAGAGCUCUUUUAAAGACUUUCUUUUGUUCUUUUAGAAAAUAAGCACAAUUUGAUACAUAAAAAAUAUGAAUUGGCACACAAUUUAAGUUCUAAAGAGCAAGCCAAUUUAGACUCAUUAGUGAAUUUCAAAAUAGAUUUUCUAAGAGAUACUCAAAAAAAAAAAAAUUCAACACGUUAUUCUCCCCCUUAAUUGAUCAUUCCAUUUAAGAGUUUAGAAUUUGAAGAUAAUGUUCAAUAAAAUUGUCAAUCUCAAAACAAAUAUAUUUUCUAUAAGUAUCAGCUUAUUUUCAUAAGACUCAAUGUUUGAGAUAAGACAACCUUUAUAGACAACUUUUAAAGCAAGUCUUGCAAUAUAAGGAGGUUCAUCAAAAUCAAUCCAUAAAAAUCAAGGUAUGAGAUACUGAAUAUCUAAAGCUCCCCCUCAAA
RNAcentral lists this long non-coding RNA (523 nucleotides) under Phoenix dactylifera (date palm). RNAcentral describes it as "long non-coding RNA (PDAC_LNC021340)". The record is from RNAcentral. Lineage: Eukaryota; Viridiplantae; Streptophyta; Magnoliopsida; Arecales; Arecaceae.